This 196-nucleotide ribosomal RNA is filed under the name uncultured bacterium. RNAcentral's name for it is "partial 16S ribosomal RNA". It matches the Rfam family "Bacterial small subunit ribosomal RNA", at positions 1305 to 1500 of the family's 1533-position model. The record is from RNAcentral.
CUGCAACUCGCCUGCAUGAAGUCGGAAUUGCUAGUAAUCGUAGGUCAGCAUACUGCGGUGAAUACGUUCCCGGGCCUUGUACACACCGCCCGUCAAACCAUGAGAGUUGGCAACACCCGAAGUCGGUAGUCUAACCGCAAGGAGGACGCCGCCGAAGGUGGGGUUGAUGAUUAGGGUUAAGUCGUAACAAGGUAGC